Oreochromis niloticus (Nile tilapia) is the source of this 1025-nucleotide long non-coding RNA. RefSeq lists it as uncharacterized. The transcript has 3 exons. Lineage: Eukaryota; Metazoa; Chordata; Actinopteri; Cichliformes; Cichlidae. The record is from RefSeq and is a predicted model, not a curated record.
GAAAGUCCCAGCGGGUCCACCUCGCUGACGAAGACAUGACUUUUUCCCGCUCCGUCCACGUGACCCGUCACCGCAAAACCUGCAGAGUCACAGAAGAAGAAGUACAUCACACACAGGUCGACAGAUGUUCAGAGUAAAAACACCGACAGCUGGAAGCUGCUGCUCAUCACGCAACUGAAAACACACACAGCAGAGUGAGCCGGGAGAAUGACCUCGCAGGAAUCAUGUGAAUACAAAUCCAGACUUAAAGCGACGAGGUGGACUGGAAAAUAAGAAAAGCUUGUGAAGAAUCCUGAGCUCUGAUUGGCUGAAAAGAUCACAGGAGAUGAAAUAUGGAGACAAAAGGGUAAAGAGGAACAGCGGGAUACAGAGGAGACACAGGGGGAGGAAGGAGGUUAAAAGGGGAGCAGAAGAAAGAAGGUGGAGGUCAUGCGACAACAGGAGGUGGGGUUUGGUGGGGAGGUCAUGUGGAGAGGAGGUGUGGGAGUCAUCUCCUGCCUCCUGUGAUGGAUUAACUCUCAGGAACAAAGAAAUCCUGGCAGAAUAAAACAGCCUGGAAGCUUUUAAUUCUCAAUCACCUCCUCCUCUUCCUCCUCCUCCUCCCACCUCCUCCUCUUCAGAAGGAGCAGCAGGCAGCCGGUUGCCCUCAAAAAGCUGUGCAGUUAAACAAACUGUCCUCCUUCUCCUCCUCUUCCUCCCACCUCCUCCUCCUUUUCCUCCUCGGCGAGUUUGAUGUGACAAUUUUGAACACAAUAUCAGAAGUAUGUGGACAAGGUGUCACAUCAUCUUCCAGCUUUUCCGGAUUGAGUCGUCUUUUCUCUGAGCGAUAACUUGUUGCAUAUUUGCUUGAUCAGCAAAAGAUCAGUGACUCCUACUUCAGAGUCGCUCACAUCCACCCGAGUGUUUCCUGACGGUGCUUCAAAGGAGCGACGCGACUUCUUUACACGUCAUGAUCUUUAACCAGUGAGCUGCUUUCUACAAAGUCCUCAUAAUGUACUGCUGUAGUCAAACACACACACACACAG